This 1805-nucleotide long non-coding RNA is filed under the name Marmota monax (woodchuck). Lineage: Eukaryota; Metazoa; Chordata; Mammalia; Rodentia; Sciuridae. The record is from RNAcentral.
ACCGCCCAACUGCCCUGUUCCCAAGCUGGGGACUGACCUAUAAACUCCGGCAUGGGUUCGGAAAACAGAGACAAGCCGCGUGGGAGCAAAGGCAGUAAAGGGGCCUCGGAGAGACGAGGAUGUACGCAGCCUUGAUGGAUUUUCUUGACUUCAGCCUCGGGAGUACGGUUUUGGGAUAUAACCCUGUAGGCAAGAUCCACAAGGCUGCAAGAAAUGGAAAUGUAGCCCAAGUGAGACGUCUGCUCUGUCGGGGAAGUUACAUCGAUGACGCAGACAAGAAGGACAGGUACAUAGAGCCCGGAGGGCAGGGACUCCAGGGACAAGGGGCCAACCCAGGGAAGCCGUUCUCAUGAGGCUGUGCCCAGGGGGACAGAGCAGAAGGGAGUCCAGCUCUCUUUUGACCCGAUGCUGGGCUUUUAUGCCUCACGGACCGGACAGCUGGGACCUGCAAACCUCGGAGCUCAGGUCCUCUUAAUGAGCUGCAAAACUUCAGCUGCUUUCCCAGCAGCUUACAACCCCCCUAUAGAGCGACUGAUUGCCUGUUUAAGAGCGAUUUAACUCACAAAAUUAAGUACACACAACGGUUUAUUGUUAAUUCACACAUUUUAAAAAGCAAGUUAUAUACAUAGUAGAAAAGUGUAUUCUGAGAAAAAUAUUUCUUCCAACUGGAAGAUUCUUCCAGGGCAGCCCAAUAUCCAUUUGCAUUAGUGUACACCUAUAUCCCUGUUCUCUAUGGAGGGGCCUCAGGGGGACUUUUUGAAGUGAGAAGAUUUCUCCGUGGGCUUUCUAAUGGUCAUGUUUAAAGUUAUCUCACACUAGUGUAUUUAGGGGUGCCACUUCCACUCAAGAUAUUUUACUUAUUUCUCACGCUUCACUAAUUCCUCGACUUCUGAAGUGUCACUUUGUGUCAUCUUGGUCAGCCAACCAUCUUCAUGACAAGAUGUUGACGAGUACUCCAUUAACUUCACUCACUUCCGAGAGAGUGGAACAGAGUGCACGGCAGCUUCCCCUUUCCAAAGCACCACACACAUCACAUCGUCCUGUUUCCACUUGUCACCACUGCAGGCUACCGCAAGCAACUUCUGCCAAAGCUUCCGGUGAAAAAUGGCCGAUUCCGACUGUUCGGAUACCCUCUCCUGUGGUUAUCCAGUCCCGCUUCUCUAUUUAGGCAGCGUCCCAGCGACCCACCAAGGCGGCAGGGGCAGCACAGGGAGGGCAGAGGGCAGAAGCAGAGGGCAUCAUAGGCUGCUUGCAGCCACGCUAACGCCCCUCACCCUGUCUUAUUCUCAAGGGACCAGGGAUCAAAGGAGGGCCUGGGCCCUGCUGUGAUUUUAUUUUAUUUGUUUUUUUAUGUGGUGCUGAGGAUGGAACCCAGUGCCUCAAACAUGCUAGGCAAGUGCUCUACCCUGAGCUACAACCAGAGCUCUGGUGUAAUGGUCUUGAAUAGGAAUACAUUAUCUCCAAAGUGUGAGCUCUUUCUAUGGUUACCAAUUUUUAUUUGCCAGUAAAAAUAUCAGAGUUUUAACAUUUUUGAGUCUCACAUUCAGCCUUUUAGGGUUGUGAUGACACUAAGAAAAUAUUUGUAAUAAACACAGGCUUGCCCCCUGGGUAUCAAAAUACACAAUUAACUUUCACAAAUUACUUUUGCCAACAGCUGAAAGGACAGAAAAACGAAUGGAACAGAAUAAAAGUCAAGAAGCACCCAUGCCGCAGUCUGGCUGGGCACAAAUGCCGCAGUCUGGCUGGGCACACAAUCACGAGCCACCACACAGCUUGUAGAUUCAAACAGCAACUCUUUAUUCCCG